Molecule: non-coding RNA, 728 nt
Organism: Rattus norvegicus (Norway rat)
Lineage: Eukaryota; Metazoa; Chordata; Mammalia; Rodentia; Muridae
Source: RefSeq, a predicted model, not a curated record
GUCACACAACAAUGGGGGUGAAAUGGACAAUUAGAAGCUGAGGCGGAAGGGAAGAGUGACCAUGACAUCAUCGUUCGGGAACACCAAAUCAAAUAGCAGGCUUCAGGGAAUAGGAGGGGGUACACUGAACUGGGACACCGCUCAGCCUUCAUGACUGUGCUUUGGCCUUGCUCUCAAAGGUCAUGUGUUACAAAGUUAAUCCUGAGGGCAACAGUGUAGUAAAGUGGUACUUUUAAGAAGUAACAAAGCCAGGAGGUUCUGCCUUUCUGAAAGGAUUAGUAUCCUUUUCACAAAACAGAGAGCCCUCAGUUGGUAUAUCCCUCCAUCGUAGACAGCUCAGCCUCCAGAAGCACAAACAACAAAUUUCUGUUCAGUAUGAAUUACCCAGGUGAAGUAGCAGAAAGAGGAAGAUGUCAAACUCCAGUCAUGGAGGAGAGGUCGUGCUGUGCCACGUAAACAGGUUCAUCUCGUGCACCACCUGCCUGGAAACUGUAGUCAACUGCUUCCAUAAAGAACCUACUUUCCUGUUAGUUGAAAAUAGAAACUGUGGUACUUACACUUGGGUGCUCACUGCUGGUGUGUGAGUCAAGCAGACACAACGAGAAAGUACACCCUGCCUGGUGAAGGCAGAAGACAAAAUCAGAGUGAUAUUUCCAUCUGAAAGGUUUUUAUUCUGAAUAAUAAAAUCACUUCAUUCUAAUUAAGUCAAAUAAAAAUAUCGCACAGAC